Molecule: transfer RNA, 71 nt
Filed under: Pectenocypris sp. MZB 22148
Lineage: Eukaryota; Metazoa; Chordata; Actinopteri; Cypriniformes; Danionidae
Description: tRNA-Gly
Source: RNAcentral
AUCUUUCUAGUAUAAAACUAUUACGAGUGGCUUCCAACUACUUAAUCUUGGCUAAACCCCAAGGAAAGAUA